UUUAGAUAUUAACAUACUCGGAUAUUGUGAUGAGCACAAAGUGGCGGAGUGACGAAUAGGGCCUCAGAGUAAUAAAACAUUCACUACAUCGCUGCCAAACGGCCACGGUGAGCCACUUCCUCAUGGAGACACGAUUAACAAAAGGAAAACCUCUCAGAAAGAAGCAUUGGAAUACUUGCUAAAGACGAAUCGCACUGCCUGGAUUUCUGCUGGAGUUGUAGCGUCACUUUAUCAUUUAGGUCAAACGAAACUAGGCCACCCAGUGAGACUGUAAGGAAAUCACAGAAAAGUGGAUCCAAGGGCCAAAAAGAAAAGCGAUCCUUUGUUUUAGACAAACCGUUGCUCAAGGUGACCUGAAGCAGUUUGUUUUCCAUAAGAUGGAUAAGUGGGCAACAUCAUCCAGCACAGCACAGGGGAAUGAGAGCUCGUCUGCCCCAAUCAUAUUUUCUACCCUGUCUUCACGGUAAACACCAAUCUGUGGGACCCAUCUAGGACGAACUAGGAUGCAUUCACGAAGACAUUAUCCAGACUAAACACACUGCCCAGAAUGUUUCAAGCCUCUCAGAAGAAUAACUGUAUAUCAAUAACAGAGAUUAUGGUAUAGUAGAGGUAUAUGAUUU
Long non-coding RNA from Puntigrus tetrazona (Sumatra barb), 620 nucleotides. RefSeq lists it as uncharacterized. The record is from RefSeq and is a predicted model, not a curated record. Lineage: Eukaryota; Metazoa; Chordata; Actinopteri; Cypriniformes; Cyprinidae. The transcript has 3 exons.